Molecule: ribosomal RNA, 254 nt
Filed under: uncultured bacterium
Lineage: Bacteria
Description: partial 16S ribosomal RNA
Rfam family: Bacterial small subunit ribosomal RNA
Source: RNAcentral
UACGAGGGGGGCAAGCGUUGUUCGGAUUUACUGGGCGUAAAGGGCGCGUAGGCGGUCAGCACAAGUCAGUUGUGAAAUCUCCGGGCUUAACUCGGAAAGGUCAACUGAUACUGUGCGACUAGAGUGCGGAAGGGGCAACUGGAAUUCUCGGUGUAGCGGUGAAAUGCGUAGAUAUCGAGAGGAACACCUGCGGCGAAGGCGGGUUGCUGGGCAGACACUGACGCUGAUGCGCGAAAGCCAGGGGAGCGAACGGG